This 71-nucleotide transfer RNA is filed under the name Marmota monax (woodchuck). RNAcentral describes it as "tRNA.Val". The record is from RNAcentral. Lineage: Eukaryota; Metazoa; Chordata; Mammalia; Rodentia; Sciuridae.
GGGGUCGUGGCUCAGCGAUAGAGCGCUCGCCUCACACAUGCAAGAGCCUGGGUUAGAUCUCCGGCACCACA